UUUCGCAAUGCCCGAAAGGGUGACGAAGCGACGCCGCGUGCGGGAAGAAGGCCUUCGGGUUGUAAACCGCUGUCGGGAGUUAAGAAAUGCAAGGGUGUUAACAGCAUCCUUGCUUGCUAAGGCUCCGGAGGAAGCCACGGCUAACUCUGUGCCAGCAGCCGCGGUAAUACAGAGGCGGCAAGCGUUGUUCGGAAUUAUUGGGCGUAAAGAGCACGUAGGCGGCUGUGUAAGUCGGUUGUGAAAGCCUUCCGCUCAACGGGAGAACGGCAUCCGAUACUGCAUGGCUAGAGUGCGGGAGGGGGGAGUGGAACUUCUGGUGGAGCGGUGAAAUGCGUAGAUAUCAGAAGGAACACCGGCGGCGAAAGCGACUCUCUGGCCCGUAACUGACGCUGAGUGUGCGAAAGCUAGGGGAGCAAACGGGAUUAGAUACCCCGGUAGUCCUAGCCGUAAACGAUGGGCACUAAGUAGAGGGGUUUU
RNAcentral lists this ribosomal RNA (477 nucleotides) under uncultured Planctomycetales bacterium. Its description in RNAcentral is "bacterial SSU rRNA". It matches the Rfam family "Bacterial small subunit ribosomal RNA", at positions 364 to 832 of the family's 1533-position model. Lineage: Bacteria; Pseudomonadati; Planctomycetota; Planctomycetia; Planctomycetales. The record is from RNAcentral.